Molecule: ribosomal RNA, 757 nt
Filed under: Psychrobacter sp. A-1-28
Lineage: Bacteria; Pseudomonadati; Pseudomonadota; Gammaproteobacteria; Moraxellales; Moraxellaceae
Description: bacterial SSU rRNA
Rfam family: Bacterial small subunit ribosomal RNA
Source: RNAcentral
UUGAUCAUGGCUCAGAUUGAACGCUGGCGGCAGGCUUAACACAUGCAAGUCGAGCGGAAACGAUGRUAGCUUGCUAYCAGGCGUCGAGCGGCGGACGGGUGAGUAAUACUUAGGAAUCUACCUAGUAGUGGGGGAUAGCACGGGGAAACUCGUAUUAAUACCGCAUACGACCUACGGGAGAAAGGGGGCAGUUUACUGCUCUCGCUAUUAGAUGAGCCUAAGUCGGAUUAGCUAGAUGGUGGGGUAAAGGCCUACCAUGGCGACGAUCUGUAGCUGGUCUGAGAGGAUGAUCAGCCACACCGGGACUGAGACACGGCCCGGACUCCUACGGGAGGCAGCAGUGGGGAAUAUUGGACAAUGGGGGAAACCCUGAUCCAGCCAUGCCGCGUGUGUGAAGAAGGCCUUUUGGUUGUAAAGCACUUUAAGCAGUGAAGAAGACUCCGUGGUUAAUACCCACGGACGAUGACAUUAGCUGCAGAAUAAGCACCGGCUAACUCUGUGCCAGCAGCCGCGGUAAUACAGAGGGUGCAAGCGUUAAUCGGAAUUACUGGGCGUAAAGCGAGCGUAGGUGGCUUGAUAAGUCAGAUGUGAAAUCCCCGGGCUUAACCUGGGAACUGCAUCUGAAACUGUUAGGCUAGAGUAKGUGAGAGGGAAGUAGAAUUUCAGGUGUAGCGGUGAAAUGCGUAUAGAUCUGAAGGAAUACCGAUGGCGAAGGCAGCUUCCUGGCAUCAUACUGACACUGAGGCUCGAAAGCGUG